Molecule: small nuclear RNA, 104 nt
Organism: Otolemur garnettii (small-eared galago)
Lineage: Eukaryota; Metazoa; Chordata; Mammalia; Primates; Galagidae
Source: Ensembl
GUGCUCGCUUUGAAAUCACAUAUACUAAAAUUGGAACAAAACAGAGAUUAGCAGGGCCCCUGUGCAAGGAUGACAUGCAAAUUCAUGAAGUAUUCCAUAUUUUU